AAAAGUGAAAGACGGUCUUGCUGUCACUUAUAGAUGGAUCCGCGCUGCAUUAGCUAGUUGGUAAGGUAACGGCUUACCAAGGCAACGAUGCAUAGCCGACCUGAGAGGGUGAUCGGCCACACUGGAACUGAGACACGGUCCAGACUCCUACGGGAGGCAGCAGUAGGGAAUCUUCCGCAAUGGGCGAAAGCCUGACGGAGCAACGCCGCGUGAGUGAUGAAGGUCUUCGGAUCGUAAAACUCUGUUAUUAGGGAAGAACAUAUGUGUAAGUAACUGUGCACAUCUUGACGGUACCUAAUCAGAAAGCCACGGCUAACUACGUGCCAGCAGCCGCGGUAAUACGUAGGUGGCAAGCGUUAUCCGGAAUUAUUGGGCGUAAAGCGCGCGUAGGCGGUUUUUUAAGUCUGAUGUGAAAGCCCACGGCUCAACCGUGGAGGGUCAUUGGAAACUGGAAAACUUGAGUGCAGAAGAGGAAAGUGGAAUUCCAUGUGUAGCGGUGAAAUGCGCAGAGAUAUGGAGGAACACCAGUGGCGAAGGCGACUUUCUGGUCUGUAACUGACGCUGAUGUGCGAAAGCGUGGGGAUCAAACAGGAUUAGAUACCCCGGUAGUCCACGCCGUAAACGAUGAGUGCUAAGUGUUAGGGGGUUUCCGCCCCUUAGUGCUGCAGCUAACGCAUUAAGCACUCCGCCUGGGGAGUACGACCGCAAGGUUGAAACUCAAAGGAAUUGACGGGGACCCGCACAAGCGGUGGAGCAUGUGGUUUAAUUCGAAGCAACGCGAAGAACCUUACCAAAUCUUGACAUCCUUUGACAACUCUAGAGAUAGAGCUUUCCCCUUCGGGGGACAAAGUGACAGGUGGUGCAUGGUUGUCGUCAGCUCGUGUCGUGAGAUGUUGGGUUAAGUCCCGCAACGAGCGCAACCCUUAAGCUUAGUUGCCAUCAUUAAGUUGGGCACUCUAAGUUGACUGCCGGUGACAAACCGGAGGAAGGUGGGGAUGACGUCAAAUCAUCAUGCCCCUUAUGAUUUGGGCUACACACGUGCUACAAUGGACAAUACAAAGGGCAGCGAAACCGUGAGGUCAAGCAAAUCCCAUAAAGUUGUUCUCAGUUCGGAUUGUAGUCUGCAACUCGACUACAUGAAGCUGGAAUCGCUAGUAAUCGUAGAUCAGCAUGCUACGGUGAAUACGUUCCCGGGUCUUGUACACACCGCCCGUCACACCACGAGAGUUUGUAACACCCGAAGCCGGUGGAGUAACCUUUUAGGAGCUAGCCGUCGAAGGUGGGACAAAUGAUUGGGGUGAAGUCGUAACAAGGUAGCCGUAUCGGAAGGUGCGGCUGGAUCACCUCCUUU
This 1351-nucleotide ribosomal RNA is filed under the name Staphylococcus aureus. Its description in RNAcentral is "bacterial SSU rRNA". It matches the Rfam family "Bacterial small subunit ribosomal RNA", at positions 196 to 1533 of the family's 1533-position model. Lineage: Bacteria; Bacillati; Bacillota; Bacilli; Caryophanales; Staphylococcaceae. The record is from RNAcentral.